RNAcentral lists this ribosomal RNA (1475 nucleotides) under metagenome. RNAcentral describes it as "bacterial LSU rRNA". It matches the Rfam family "Bacterial large subunit ribosomal RNA", at positions 1459 to 2925 of the family's 2925-position model. The record is from RNAcentral.
AAGCGAUGGGGUGACGCAGGAAGGUAGCUGGGCCAGUCAGUGGUUGUACUGGUGUAAGAGUGUAGGCCGUGACAUAGGCAAAUCCAUGUCACAUUAAGGCUGAGACUUGAUGCAUACCCGUUGUGGGGAAUUCAGUGAUCCUAUGCUGCCGAGAAAAGCCUCUAGUGAGUUCAUACACGGCCCGUACCCCAAACCGACACAGGUGAUCAGGUAGAGAAUACCAAGGCGAUCGAGAGAACUGUGGUUAAGGAACUCGGCAAAAUGCCCCCGUAACUUCGGGAGAAGGGGGACCAUGCCCGGUGAACAUCUUCACGGUGGGAGCUGGGUGUGGUCGCAGAGACCAGAGAGAAGCGACUGUUUACUAAAAACACAGGUCCGUGCGAAGACGUAAGUCGAUGUGUACGGACUGACGCCUGCCCGGUGCUGGAAGGUUAAGAGGACCGGUUAGCCGUAAGGCGAAGCUGAGAAUUUAAGCCCCAGUAAACGGCGGUGGUAACUAUAACCAUCCUAAGGUAGCGAAAUUCCUUGUCGGGUAAGUUCCGACCUGCACGAAUGGCGUAACGACUUCUCUGCUGUCUCGACCACAGACUCGGCGAAAUUGCACUACGAGUAAAGAUGCUCGUUACGCGCGGCAGGACGAAAAGACCCCGGGACCUUUACUAUAGCUUGGUAUUGGCGUUCGAUUCGGUUUGUGUAGGAUAGGUGGGAGACUGUGAAGCAUGCACGCCAGCGUGUGUGGAGUCGUUGUUGAAAUACCACUCUGAUCGUAUUGGACGUCUAACCUCGGCCCAUGAUCUGGGUUAGGGACAGUGCCUGGUGGGUAGUUUAACUGGGGCGGUUGCCUCCUAAAGAGUAACGGAGGCGCCCAAAGGUUCCCUCAGCCUGGAUGGCAAUCAGGUGUUGAGUGCAAGUGCACAAGGGAGCUUGACUGUGAGACUGACACGUCGAGCAGGGACGAAAGUCGGGACUAGUGAUCCGGCACCGGCAAGUGGAAGCGGUGUCGCUCAACGGAUAAAAGGUACCCCGGGGAUAACAGGCUGAUCUUCCCCAAGAGUCCAUAUCGACGGGAUGGUUUGGCACCUCGAUGUCGGCUCGUCGCAUCCUGGGGCUGGAGUAGGUCCCAAGGGUUGGGCUGUUCGCCCAUUAAAGCGGCACGCGAGCUGGGUUUAGAACGUCGUGAGACAGUUCGGUCUCUAUCCGCCGCGCGCGUAAGAAACUUGAGGAAGGCUGUCCCUAGUACGAGAGGACCGGGACGGACGAACCUCUGGUGUGCCAGUUGUUCCACCAGGAGCAUGGCUGGUUAGCUACGUUCGGAAGGGAUAACCGCUGAAAGCAUCUAAGCGGGAAGCCUGUUCCAAGAUGAGGUUUCUCACCACCUUGCGUGGUUAAGGCCCCCUACAGACCAUGGGGUUGAUAGGCCGGAACUGGAAGCGCAGCAAUGCGUGGAGGUGACCGGUACUAAUAGGCCGAGGGCU